Molecule: long non-coding RNA, 5357 nt
Filed under: Nicotiana tabacum (common tobacco)
Lineage: Eukaryota; Viridiplantae; Streptophyta; Magnoliopsida; Solanales; Solanaceae
Description: long non-coding RNA (NTAB_LNC011225)
Source: RNAcentral
GGCUGAACUCCCCUAACUAGUUGAGCUGCUGGAGUUUGGAACUAGGGAGCUAUCUGCUCCUGAAUGCGAGUAGCAGGAGUGUGGGCUCCUCCUCCAACUUGAGAGACGGCUGGUGCUAUAGGAAGCAAGCCUGCUUGGGUGACGCUCUCCAUAAGUCCCACUAGAUGGACCAGAGCAUCCUGUAGUAUUGGGGUAGCAAUGAACCCCUCUGGGACCUGAUCUGGGCCCACCGAAACUGCCUGGGCCAGAACCUCAUCAUCAAACUCAACCUAAGGCUCCACCGCUGGUGCUACUGCUUUGGGCUGAGCUUUGCCCCUACCUCGACCUCUAGCAUGGCCUCGGCCUUGCCCUCUACCCAUCGUAGGAGCUGCUGCUGGGGGCUCGGGCUACUGAUCAGUGGAUAAGGAUGUGCGUGUUCUCGCCAUCUGUGAAAGAACAAAGUAGAAAUUCAAUUAGCAUUGAGAAACCAAGCCGAACGAUAGGAAAGAAUAGAUGUGAAACCUAUGUAACCUAGAUCUCUGAUACCAACUUGUCACGACCUAGAUUUCCCACCCUCAGGAGCCGUGAUGGCGCCUACUAGUGAAAGCUAGACAAGCCAAUCAUUUGAAUUAUUUACUUUUUUUUCCAUUUUAGUCCUUUUACAAGUAAUAGCCAAUAAUUGAUAAACAACGGAAAUCUAAUAAGCGGAAGACUGAAAUGAAAUAAUUUAAGAAAGAUGUCAAUAUCAAUCCAUACAAAAAACUACCCAAGACUGGUGUCACAAUUCCACAGACUGUCUAGGAAUACUACAAAUUAAAGUCUGAAAGAUUUAUUACAACAUUGUCUCUGAAAUAUAUAAAAGAAAUAGACUAAAAGGGUAGGAGAAGAUGCCAAGUCCUGCGGACGCCUGCAGGACUACCUCGAAAUCUCCGGCUGGAUUGAAGGUAGCCACCCAAAGCUACGGUUCGAAAGCUGCUGCUCUGGGAUCUGCACACAAUGCAGACUGUAGUAUCAGCAUAACCGACCCCAUGUGCUGGUAAGUGCCUAGCCUAACCCCGGUGAAGUAGUGACGAGGCUAGGACCAGACUACCAAAUAAACCUGUGCAAUUAUAUCAUAUACAGAGGAAAAUAAAAGCAAAAACGUAUAGUUAAGGAUGGAGGGAGGAUCAUGCUGCGGGGGAAUAUCAUUUACCAAGAACAAUUUAAAUAUUCGCAGCAGAAAGAAUAAGGAAACCGUAACAAAUCAAUAACCACUUUUAUCUUUUAUUAUUGCGGCGCGCAACUCGAUCCUAAUCAUAAAAAAACACUGUUGUGGCGUGCAACUCGAUCCAUACCAUAUAUCACUAUUGCGGCGUGCAACCCUAUCCAAAUAUAAUAUUGUUACGGCAUGCAACUCGAUCUAACUAUAAUAUUAUUGCGGCGUGUAACCCGAUCCAAAUAUAAUAUUGUUGCGACAUGCAACCUGAUCCAAAUAUAGUAUUGUUGCGGCAUGUAACCCGAUCCCAAUAUACAAUUCAACACCAAUCACAAAAGAGUCCAAAUAAGGGAACAAUAAGGGAAAUACAAUAUCCCGGCAAGGGAAUCGACAGUAAAAAGUAAAUGCGACGCGGCAAGGGAAUCAGCUAUAACCAAACUUGUUCCAAUAUUUAACUUCACAAAAAAAAACCUCAACUAGCACCAAUACUCAACCAUAAGCAAUUUCCACGAGAAUAAUCAUAAUUAUUUCCCAACACAAAGAAUCAACAACUUAGGCAUUUGUAGUACUUAUUAAGAACACAACGACUUCAAUUUAAGACUCAUGGACAUGCUUGACAACGACGUAUAGAUACUCAUCACCAUGCCUAUAUGUCGUACUCAACAAAUAACACAUAGCAUAUAGGACUCGACUCCUAAUCCCUCAAGCUAAGGUUAGACCAAACACUUACCUCGAUGCCACGAGCACAAUUUAAGCCUCAACUACCGCUUUACCUCUUUAUUCCACCACCAAUUUGCUUGUAUCUAGCCACAAGUUACUAAACUAUAUCAAUAAAAGCUAAAUAAAUCAAUUCCAAUGCAUGAAAAUAGGUUUUCUAAAGUUUUUCCCAAAAAGUCAAAAAUCGCCCCCAGGCCCACAUGGUCAAAACACGACGUUCGAACCAAAAUUAGAUUACCCAUUCCCCCACGAACCCAAAUAUAUAAUUUGUUUUGAAAUCGAACCUCAAAUCGAGGUCUAAAUCUCCAAAUUUGAAAAACCUAGGUUCUACCCAAAAUACCCAAUUUCGCCCAUGAAAAUCCUUGAUUUUGAGUUGAAAUCAUAAAAAAGGAUGUUAAAAAUUGAUGAAACCAAGUUAGAAAUGACUUACAAUCGAUUUGGAAGAAUACUUGUCUUUGAAAAAUCGGCCAAGAGUGUUUUGGUUUUGAAAGGGUUUGAAAAUGAGAAAAAUCCGUCUAAGUUAUGAUUUUGCAGGUUACAGGUGUCGCAAUUGCGACUAGGGUUCGCAAUUACGAACCCCUCAGACUGCUAACUUCGCAUUUGCGAACAAGGGUUUGCAUUUGCGAACUCUGAGGAAUCCAGGCCUCUUCGCAUUUGCGACAAAUACUUCGCAUUUGCGAUCAAGGCACCCCAGGACACUAUUCGCAUUUGCGACAUAUUUCUCGCAUUUGCGAGCCAGGCUUCGCAAUUGUGAAGCUUGCAGGCCUGCAACACACCAGAAAUUCCUAAGUCCAAAUUUCACUCCGUGGCCUAUCCAAAACUCACCCGAGCCCUCGGGGCUCCAAAUCAAACAUGCACACUAGCUCAAAAAUAUCAUACAGACAUGCUCGUGCGAUCACAUCCUCAAAAUAACAUUAAUAGCUAUGAAUUUACCACCAAAAUCAAAGGAAAUCUCAUGAACUUUCAAAGUUUCAAAUUUUACAACUAAGGUUCCGAAUCACGCCAUUUCAAGUCCGUUUCUUACCAAAUUUUACAGACUCGACUUAAAUCAUAUAUAAGACCUAUACCGGGCUCUGAAACCAAAAUACGGGCCCGAUACCAUUAACUUCCAAACAUUUUCCAAAAACUCAUAUAUAUUCCAGAAAACAAUUUUUCUUUAAAAAUUUAUUUUUCGGGCUUGAGACCUCAAAAUUCGAUUCCAGGCAUACGCCCAGGUCCCAUAUUUUCCUACGGACCCUUCGGGAUCGUCAAAUCACGGGUCCGAGUCCGUUUACCCAAAAUGUUGACCGAAAUCAAUUUAAAUUUAUUUUAAAGGCAAAUUUUAUCAUUUUUCACAGAUUUUCACAUAAUGGCUUCCCGGUUACGCGCCCGAACUGUGCACGCAAAUUGAGGUGAUAUAGAAAGAAGUUUUUAAAGCUUCGGAAUACAGAAUUUAUUUCUAAAACAAGCGAUAACCUUUUGGGUCAUCCCAUCACUUGGGAUAUUUGUUAUGGUGUCCCAAGUCACCGGUUUAUUUUAAAUUCCAAAUCGGGGAAAUUUGACUUUGUUUAAAUUUUGCGAAAACUAGAAGACCGGGUAAGGAAUUAUGUUAACCCGGGAGAAGGUGUUAGGCACUUCCGGGUUCGGUGAUUUUAGCACGGUCUCUUUAAUCACCUGACUUAAUUAAAUUGUUUAAUUACUCAUUUUAGAAGCUAUAUACAUUUUACCUUUUACGGCUUUUUUUAUUAUGGCGUUAUGGAUUUGAUAUUUUACAAGGAUUAUAUGUGUGUAAAUCCGCUUUAUUUGGGGAGCUAAAAUCAUGGCACACAAACGUGUGUACAAUUAAUUGCGCUUUAUUAAUUAUUAAUAUUGUUUGGCCAAAGUCGCGCGAACGCGUACCUUGAUUUAUUUUAGAAAUCAUAAUUAUGUCAUGCGAACGUGUACACAAUCACAAUAAUAGAUUAAUUAAGAGCGCGCUAAAAACAUUCCAAUUGUAUUCAUUAUUCUUCCUAAACUUUGAGAUUAUUGUGAGGCCAUAAGAGUAUGGAAGAUUGUUGUGGAUGAAGUAUACUAAUUGAUCAAUAUAAAUUAAUAUCGAGAGGAACUAUUACAGUAUUUGUGGUUUCGAAGUUAUGAGGCAUUUACCUAUUAUGAAAAAAUGGGCCAACUUUUAUAAAAAUAGUAGAAUUAUUGGGCCGACAAACUAAACUCAUCGGGCCUAAAUCUCAUUUCCACUUUAGAAUUACGCCACAGCCCAACAAACAAUAUUAAAGCAACUCAACACCCACAGCCUAAUCUUGUUUGUAUGCUACCAUUGAAGCUAAACAAAUGAAAUUAAAAUUGGGCUCAAGAGAGGAGUCUGUAAUUUUCUAUGCAUAAACACACAAUGUGGCCAUCACAACCAGUUGAGGUAUCACACAAACAAAAUGGCAUAGAGCAUAGUAGAUGCUGCCAACAUUUCAGAUUAAUCUUAAACUAAAAAAAUAUCGACUGCUAAUAAAAUCAACAGAUAGUGAAUCUUAAAGCUCACAUUAACAUCUUUGAGUUAUGACUUCAUAGCAAAAAUUAGAUUCGACACUAAUGAGACAGCUUUAACACAAAAUUUGAACAGAGCAAACACCACACAAGGCAUCUAAAUCAAUACAUGGGUGAAUCAGUGCUCAUUUUCAUUGAAGAAUAUUCAAAUACAACAAGAGUUUUAUGUGUUUACCUUUAUGCCAGAAGAAUGCAAAUAGGGAAUGUCAGGCAAAGGCUAAGCACGAAGGCUUGAGCUCAGCUAAGAAUUCAACAGAAUAACAAUUGCAAAUAGCACUUCUCACAGCUCUAGGAUCACUCGAACUCCCAGGAAAAUGAAGUAGAAUGGUAGAAGUUGAGCUAAUUGUGAAAUCCUCUUUUGUUCAUGCAUUUGUUUCCCAUUUCUUAAGCUUUUUGUUUCUAAAUCUGAGGUUCAAUCUCCUUGAAUUCAAAGGAUUGUUUUCGGCUUUUGUAAAAGUGAGCCAUAUAUGAAUGAGGAAUGGAGAGUGAAUUUGUGCAUGUGAGUGUCUAUGAAUUCAGAGAGAGAUGAGACGAGAACAACGCGUGUGAGGAAUUUGAGAGCAUUUCUUAAUUGGGCAGCUAGGUUUUUUUUGCUAAGAGGAAGGAGUGUUCUAUUAGGAGAAGAUGAGGGAAUAAGGGGGAAGCGGCUAGGUUUUAGGUUAAGGGGAGGAGAUCUGAUCUGUGUGAGACUGAGCUGAGGAAGGAGAAGGGGUGGCAGCUGCUCUUGAGAAGAUGAAGGGAUUAGGGCUUUUUUUUUUUUUUUCAAAAAGAGGGGUUGUCUCAGCCGUUUUCACACACAGAGAGAAAGUUAGAAGAUGGCUAGGGUUAGGUAUUUGGGGAAGGGACCGAUUCUGAUAGGGUAGGAAAAUAAUUUGGUUUUAAUGAGGGGAAAUGGGAUUAGGCCAGGCGGGUCAUGGGGAAUGAGCUUGGGCAGAUUCUUGUAGAGUUUUGG